UGAACCCUCUUAAAGAGAUUUCCUCCUGC
RNAcentral lists this non-coding RNA (29 nucleotides) under Rattus norvegicus (Norway rat). Lineage: Eukaryota; Metazoa; Chordata; Mammalia; Rodentia; Muridae. The record is from RNAcentral.